AUGUCUUCUAUUCUGAAUUUUGUAACUACACAUAGCAAGCAAGAGGUUGCAUCUUCUUUGCUAAGCUUGAAAGGUUGUUUGAUUAUUGUUUUCAUUUUCCUUUCUUGAUCUUCUUCAAAGUUUUUUUUUCUUCUUCCAUUUAUCAACUAUUUGUUAGUCAAACUAACAAAUAAAGUUGACGAGGGUGUGACAUUUGUUCCGGCUACGAGAACAGAUCUGAUGCGUAUGCACUUUUCAUUAGGGGGCGUUUGUUUCAGGGAUUCAUAAAUUAAUCCCAGGAAUAACUUACCUGGGAAUAAAGUAGUGGGAAGUUUAUUCCUGGGUAUUUUAAAAAAAAGUGUUUGGUUAGUAUUUUAAUUUUUCAGGAAUAUUUUCAAAAAAUGUUCCCAUAAAUAGCUAAUUGUUGUUUAGUUUAGAAUAUAUAUUCCUAGAAAAAACAUGAUACAGUUACAAAAAUACCUCUACCUUGUUUCUAAAUCAAUUUGAAUUUAUUUUACUACAUUUUAUUUUCAUUAUAACUUGAAGCAUUUGAAAAUACACCAUGAAAUAAAAUUAUGUUU
RNAcentral lists this long non-coding RNA (560 nucleotides) under Medicago truncatula (barrel medic). RNAcentral's name for it is "lncRNA gene18864". Lineage: Eukaryota; Viridiplantae; Streptophyta; Magnoliopsida; Fabales; Fabaceae. The record is from RNAcentral.